Molecule: ribosomal RNA, 468 nt
Filed under: uncultured bacterium
Lineage: Bacteria
Description: partial 16S ribosomal RNA
Rfam family: Bacterial small subunit ribosomal RNA
Source: RNAcentral
GACGAACGCUGGCGGCAGGCUUAACACAUGCAAGUCGAACGGAAAGACCCUGCUUUUUUGCUAUGGUCGAGUGCCAACCGCGUACGUAAGAGGUAAAUAACCUGAACUUGCCUUUUGGAUAUCUUCAGGAAACUGGGGCUAAUACCAAAUAAAGACUCCUUCAGCAUUGUGGGGGUUGGAAAGAUUCGGCGUAUGCGGAUGGACGAGCGGGUUGCGAUCUUGUUGGUGGGGUAGUGGCUAACUAAGGCUUUGACGGGUAGCGGGCCCGAGAGGGGGACUGGCCACAUGGGGACUGAGAUACGGCACAGACUCCUACGGGAGGCAGCAGUGGGGAAGAUUGCACAAUGCGGGGAAGUCUGAUGCAGGAACGCUGCGUGCGGGAUGACGGCCUUCGUGUAGUAAACCGCUUUCGCCUGUGACGAAGCGUGAGUGACGGUAAUUGGUAAAUAAGCACCGGCUAACUACGUG